This 70-nucleotide transfer RNA is filed under the name Dipodomys ordii (Ord's kangaroo rat). It matches the Rfam family "tRNA". Rfam says of the family: Transfer RNA (tRNA) molecules are approximately 80 nucleotides in length. The record is from Rfam by way of RNAcentral. Lineage: Eukaryota; Metazoa; Chordata; Mammalia; Rodentia; Heteromyidae.
GGGAAUGUGGCUUAGUGGUAUAGUGCUUGCCUAGCAUACAUGAAAGCCUAGGUUCAAUUCCUCAGUACCA